Molecule: ribosomal RNA, 618 nt
Filed under: Triticum aestivum (bread wheat)
Lineage: Eukaryota; Viridiplantae; Streptophyta; Magnoliopsida; Poales; Poaceae
Description: partial small subunit ribosomal RNA
Source: RNAcentral
AUGCCCCUUCCAAUUCCAUAUCACCCAUGGGAAGAUAUUAGCAUGUAUUUUGUGCUUGGUUUUCCUAGAACAAGAAAUGGCAAAGAUUAUGUGUUUGUUGUUGUGGACCGAUUCUCUAAGAUGGCUCAUUUUAUCCCAUGCAACAAGAUAGACGAUGCUUCACAUAUUGCAAAUCUCUUUUGUAGGGAAAGCUUACGACUCCAUGGAGUGCCAAAGACGAUUGUCUCGGACCGUGACGUCAAGUUCUUGAGUUACUUUUGGAAGACUCUAUGGGCCAAGCUCGGAAUCAAGCUCUUGUUCUCCUUGGCAUACUAUCCUCAAACCGACAGCCAAACGGAGGUGACGAACCGAAUGCUCUCCACUCUACUACGAGAGUUGAUCAUGAGGAACAUCAAGGAGUGGGAAGAGUGUAUACCCAUCACUGAGUACGCCUACACCCGAGCAAGACAUUCAACUACCGGCAAUUCCCCUUUCGAGGUCGUCUACGCUUUCAACCCGUUGUCCCCAUUGGAAAUUCUACCUCUACCACUACAAGAGCGCAUCACCAUGGACGCGAGUGAACGAGUAAGCUACCUCAAGAAGAUGCAUGAAGCUACAAGGCACACCAUCGAGCGCUAG